GAGUUUGAUCCUGGCUCAGAUUGAACGCUGGCGGCAGGCCUAACACAUGCAAGUCGAGCGGAUGACGGGAGCUUGCUCCUUGAUUCAGCGGCGGACGGGUGAGUAAUGCCUAGGAAUCUGCCUGGUAGUGGGGGACAACGUUUCGAAAGGAACGCUAAUACCGCAUACGUCCUACGGGAGAAAGCAGGGGACCUUCGGGCCUUGCGCUAUCAGAUGAGCCUAGGUCGGAUUAGCUAGUUGGUGGGGUAAUGGCUCACCAAGGCGACGAUCCGUAACUGGUCUGAGAGGAUGAUCAGUCACACUGGAACUGAGACACGGUCCAGACUCCUACGGGAGGCAGGCAGUGGGGAAUAUUGGACAAUGGGCGAAAGCCUGAUCCAGCCAUGCCGCGUGUGUGAAGAAGGUCUUCGGAUUGUAAAGCACUUUAAAGUUGGGAGGAAGGGCAGUAAGUUAAUACCUUGCUGUUUUGACGUUACCGACAGAAUAAGCACCGGCUAACUCUGUGCCAGCAGCCG
RNAcentral lists this ribosomal RNA (515 nucleotides) under bacterium enrichment culture clone ALO1_GLFRUDD03FOJCB. RNAcentral's name for it is "bacterial SSU rRNA". It matches the Rfam family "Bacterial small subunit ribosomal RNA", at positions 9 to 517 of the family's 1533-position model. The record is from RNAcentral.